CCUACGGGCGGCAGCAGUGGGGAAUAUUGGACAAUGGGCGAAAGCCUGAUCCAGCCAUGCCGCGUGUGUGAAGAAGGCCUUCGGGUUGUAAAGCACUUUCAGUGGGGAAGAAAGCCUUGGGGCUAAUACCCUCGAGGAAGGACAUCACCCACAGAAGAAGCACCGGCUAACUCCGUGCCAGCAGCCGCGGUAAUACGGAGGGUGCGAGCGUUAAUCGGAAUUACUGGGCGUAAAGCGCGCGUAGGCGGUCUGAUAAGCCGGUUGUGAAAGCCCCGGGCUCAACCUGGGAACGGCAUCCGGAACUGUCAGGCUAGAGUGCAGGAGAGGAAGGUAGAAUUCCCGGGGUAGCGGUGAAAUGCGUAGAGAUCGGGAGGAAUACCAGUGGCGAAGGCGGCCUUCUGGACUGACACUGACGCUGAGGUGCGAAAGCGUGGGUAGCAAACAGGAUUAGAUACCCCGGUAGUC
Molecule: ribosomal RNA, 465 nt
Filed under: Vreelandella stevensii
Lineage: Bacteria; Pseudomonadati; Pseudomonadota; Gammaproteobacteria; Oceanospirillales; Halomonadaceae
Description: partial 16S ribosomal RNA
Rfam family: Bacterial small subunit ribosomal RNA
Source: RNAcentral